CUUAAGGAUAAUAAAUUGGAAUGAAAAAGGGCAACCAGUUGGUACUAACUCAGUGCAAUUUUCUUCUUUUGUGGGCGCUCUUGUGCGAGAGGUUGUUCCUUACACUAUUUCAGAUUGGAGGAAAGUUUCACCAAUUAUGAGAGAUGUUCUUUGGGCAUCUAUUCAGGCACAAUAUGACUUACAUGAUGAUUGGCAAAAAAAGAUGUGCUUUGAAAUGAUGGCAGAACUAUGGAGAGCUGGGAAAUCUAGACUUGUGAAGGAUAUUAUCAAUGCAAAAAAUGAGAGUGAACGACUAGCCUUAAAGCUGGAUUGCAUAAAAAGUGAUGUAGAAUGGAGAGCAU
Long non-coding RNA from Humulus lupulus (European hop), 341 nucleotides. RefSeq lists it as uncharacterized. The record is from RefSeq and is a predicted model, not a curated record. The transcript has 2 exons. Lineage: Eukaryota; Viridiplantae; Streptophyta; Magnoliopsida; Rosales; Cannabaceae.